GCGAGUGCGUCCCCACCAGCCUGGCCGCCGCGGCAACUCGGGGACCGGGAGGGCGGGGGUUAGCGGGAGGAAAGGGUAAGCUGAAGAGGGGCUGGGAACGGGAGGGAGGCUCGGGGCGAACGGGCCGUCGCGUUCAUUUCCAUAAGAAAGCUGAAAUCGCAGUUGGAAGCAGGAUUUCUCGCCCCUGCAGCCCAUCCCCCAUACCCGGUUUUCUGCAAGAAGCGGGCUCCGGAGCUCAGAGCCCGAAGUGUAUGCCCUGGUCUUUGAUGAUGUUGAUAAAAUGAGGUUUCAAAUGUUGUCCCGAAGAGGCCGGUAUGUGGAAUGGAAGGACCGUGCCGGGGCACCAAGAGGCACCCUGAGAACUCAGAGGACCCAGAGGCUCCCCUCAAGCAAAUUCCCUGCUGACCCUGGAAACCCCUUGAAGGAGGGGACAAGAGGUUGCCA
This 444-nucleotide non-coding RNA is filed under the name Pan troglodytes (chimpanzee). Lineage: Eukaryota; Metazoa; Chordata; Mammalia; Primates; Hominidae. The record is from RNAcentral.